This 327-nucleotide long non-coding RNA is filed under the name Monodelphis domestica (gray short-tailed opossum). Its description in RNAcentral is "lncRNA (ENSMODG00000035387.2)". Lineage: Eukaryota; Metazoa; Chordata; Mammalia; Didelphimorphia; Didelphidae. The record is from RNAcentral.
GGUAAUGUGGUCAGCUCACAGGUGACAGAGCUAGAGGGGAGGAGGGGUGUGCUUUGUUCACUCACUGAGGACCUUCCUCACUUCAUCUCCUCUCUGCCCUGCAGUCCAAUGGAAGCCCUUUCUCACUUCCCAGCGUGGGCAAACAAAUAUCUUUGGACUAGAUAUCUGAACACUUCUUCAGUGACAGCUGAAAACUCAACAAAGCAAAGCAUCUUGAAAAGAAAUUCUACAAAGUCAGAGGAGCUGAGAUCUGCACCCAUAGAGAGCUGGCCCCCAUUAUGGAUGAAAUUUCAGUACCUUGAUCUGGUGUGGUGGAGAAAGCACUGA